UACGGAGGGUGCAAGCGUUAUCCGGAUUCACUGGGUUUAAAGGGUGCGUAGGAGGGCAGGUAAGUCAGUGGUGAAAUCCCCGAGCUUAACUUGGGAACUGCCAUUGAUACUAUCAGUCUUGAAUAUUGUGGAGGUCAGCGGAAUAUGUCAUGUAGCGGUGAAAUGCUUAGAGAUGACAUAGAACACCAAUUGCGAAGGCAGCUGGCUACACAUAUAUUGACACUGAGGCUCGAAAGCGUGGGGAUCAAACAGG
RNAcentral lists this ribosomal RNA (253 nucleotides) under uncultured bacterium. RNAcentral's name for it is "partial 16S ribosomal RNA". It matches the Rfam family "Bacterial small subunit ribosomal RNA", at positions 524 to 776 of the family's 1533-position model. The record is from RNAcentral.